Molecule: transfer RNA, 67 nt
Filed under: Cryptotermes domesticus
Lineage: Eukaryota; Metazoa; Arthropoda; Insecta; Blattodea; Kalotermitidae
Description: tRNA-Asp
Source: RNAcentral
AAAAGGUUAGUUAACAAAUAACAUUGGUAUGUCAAACCAAAAUAGCUCACUAAACAAGCACCUUUUU